RNAcentral lists this ribosomal RNA (251 nucleotides) under uncultured prokaryote. RNAcentral describes it as "partial 16S ribosomal RNA". It matches the Rfam family "Bacterial small subunit ribosomal RNA", at positions 523 to 774 of the family's 1533-position model. The record is from RNAcentral.
AUACGUAGGGGGCAAGCGUUGUCCGGAAUUAUUGGGCGUAAAGCGCGCGCAGGCGGUCUUUUAAGUCUGGUGUUUAAGCCCGGGGCUCAACCCCGGUUCGCACUGGAAACUGGGAGACUUGAGUGUAGGAGAGGAAAGUGGAAUUCCACGUGUAGCGGUGAAAUGCGUAGAGAUGUGGAGGAACAUCAGUAGCGAAGGCGACUUUCUGGCCUAUAACUGACGCUGAGGCGCGAAAGCGUGGGGAGCAAACA